UACGGAGGGUGCAAGCGUUAUCCGGAUUCACUGGGUUUAAAGGGUGCGUAGGUGGGUUGGUAAGUCAGUGGUGAAAUCCCCGAGCUUAACUUGGGAACUGCCAUUGAUACUAUUAAUCUUGAAUACCGUGGAGGUUAGCGGAAUAUGUCAUGUAGCGGUGAAAUGCUUAGAUAUGACAUAGAACACCAAUUGCGAAGGCAGCUGGCUACACGGUCAUUGACACUGAGGCACGAAAGCGUGGGGAUCAAACAGG
Molecule: ribosomal RNA, 253 nt
Filed under: uncultured bacterium
Lineage: Bacteria
Description: partial 16S ribosomal RNA
Rfam family: Bacterial small subunit ribosomal RNA
Source: RNAcentral